Molecule: ribosomal RNA, 2133 nt
Filed under: Hepatocystis sp. MFRC11
Lineage: Eukaryota; Apicomplexa; Aconoidasida; Haemosporida; Plasmodiidae
Description: SSU rRNA
Rfam family: Eukaryotic small subunit ribosomal RNA
Source: RNAcentral
AACCUGGUUGAUCUUGCCAGUAGUCAUAUGCUUGUCUCAAAGAUUAAGCCAUGCAAGUGAAAGUAUAUGCAUAUUUGAUAUGUAGAAACUGCGAACGGCUCAUUAAAACAGUUAUAAUCUACUUGACAUUUUUUUUUGUAUAAGGAUAACUACGGAAAAGCUGUAGCUAAUACUUGUUUGAAAGUGUUGCACCACUUUCGAGUGGUGUAACAUGGUACUUGUUAGUUCUUAUAAAAAAUUUUUCAAUUGAAUGAAUUAUAACAACGAAGUGACACAUAACAAUAGUUUAUUGUUUAGUGUGCAUCAAUCGAGUUUCUGACCUAUCAGCUUUUGAUGUUAAGAUAUAGGCUUAACAUGGCUAUGACGGGUAACGGGGAAUUAGAGUUCGAUUCCGGAGAGGGAGCCUGAGAAACGGCUACCACAUCUAAGGAAGGCAGCAGGCGCGUAAAUUACCCAAUUCUAAAGAAGAGAGGUAGUGACAAGAAAUAAUAGGACAAGACCACUUUUUGGUUUUGUAUCUGUGCUGAUAGGAAUUUAAACGUUUCCUAGAAUUCUAUUGGAGGGCAAGUCUGGUGCCAGCAGCCGCGGUAAUUCCAGCUCCAAUAGCGUAUAUUAAAAUUGUUGCAGUUAAAACGCUCGUAGUUGAAUUUUGUGUGGUCGAAAAGUAAGGGUUUCCUAAUCGUUAACAUUAAAGGAUAAAAAGGGGUGUCGUUUUUGUGAUGACUAACCUUUUCAUUUUUUUUGUUAUUAUGCAUUUUGUCCUCUUACACAAUGGACCACUAUUAACGGACACUACUACUAUAUUCGAUAUAUGUUAGUUAGUUACGUUAGUUACUUUGAGUAAAUUAGAGUGUUUAAAGCAAACAUUUAAAGCAUUUUUUGAAUGUGUUUGAAUACUAUAGCAUGGAAUAACAAUAUUGAGCAAACCGAGAAUUUUUUUUGCUUCGGCAUAAAUUUUUAAUUUUGGUUUAGUUACGAUUAAUAGGAGUAGUUUUUGGGGGCAUUUGUAUUCAGAUGUUAGAGGUGAAAUUCUUAGAUUUUCUGGAGACAAACUACUGCGAAAGCAUUUGCCUACUAUACUUCCAUUAAUCAAGAACGAAAGUUAAGGGAGUGAAGACGAUCAGAUACCGUCGUAAUCUUAACCAUAAACCAUACCGACUAGGUUUUGGAUGAUUUUGAAACAUGGUUAUUUUGUUUAUCGUACUUGCUUCGGCAGUUGGAUAGGACAAAAACCGAGUGCAUCGUUCAGUACCUUAUGAGAAAUCAAAGUUUUUGGGUUCUGGGGCGAGUAUUCGCGCAAGCGAGAAAGUUAAAAGAAUUGACGGAAGGGCACCACCAGGCGUGGAGCUUGCGGCUUAAUUUGACUCAACACGGGAAACCUCACUAGUUUAAGACAAGAGUAGGAUUGACAGAUUGACAGCUCUUUCUUGAUUUCUUGGAUGGUGAUGCAUGGCCGUUUUUAGUUCGUGAAUUUUGAUUUGUCUGGUUAAUUCCGAUAACGAACGAGACCUUACUUUGCUAAUUAGCGGUUUGUACGUUGUGUCUACCAUGUUUAGGAUAAUUUGAAUGUGCAUAAUUUUUUGUUUAUUACUAAUAUUCAAAUAUUAUUUGCAUUACUAAUUUUUCUGUGACAUUUUAGACGUACCUACUAAAAUUUGAAGCUUCUUAGAGGAACGAUGUGCGUUUAGCACAAGGAAGUUUAAGGCAACAACAGGUCUGUGAUGUCCUUAGAUAUACUAGGCUGCACGCGUGCUACACUGAUAUGUGUAACAAGUUUGUAACACACAAAAGUGCAUUUUUAAUGUAAAUUUUGUUGUUCCUUCACUGAAAAGUGUGGGUAAUCUUUUUUUCAGUACAUAUCGUGAUGGGGAUAGAUUAUUGCAAUUAUUAAUCUUGAACGAGGAAUGCCUAGUAAGCAUGAUUCAUUAGAUUGUGCUGACUACGUCCCUGCCCUUUGUACACACCGCCCGUCGCUCCUACCGAUUGAAAGAUAUGAUGAAUUGUUUGGACAUGACUAGAAAUUAAAGAUUUUUCUUUAUAUUUCUAUUUUUGGAAGAACUGUAAAUCCUAUCUUUUAAAGGAAGGAGAAGUCGUAACAAGGUUUCCGUAGGUGAACCUGCGGAAGGAUCAUUA